Molecule: ribosomal RNA, 468 nt
Filed under: uncultured bacterium
Lineage: Bacteria
Description: partial 16S ribosomal RNA
Rfam family: Bacterial small subunit ribosomal RNA
Source: RNAcentral
GACGAACGCUGGCGGCGUGCUUAACACAUGCCAGUCGAACGGAAAGGCCCUGCUUUUGUGGGGUGCUCGAGUGGCGAACGGGUGAGUAACACGUGAGUAACCUGCCCUUGACUUUGGGAUAACUUCAGGAAACUGGGGCUAAUACCGGAUAGGAGCUCCUGCUGCAUGGUGGGGGUUGGAAAGUUUCGGCGGUUGGGGAUGGACUCGCGGCUUAUCAGCUUGUUGGUGGGGUAGUGGCUUACCAAGGCUUUGACGGGUAGCCGGCCUGAGAGGGUGACCGGCCACAUUGGGACUGAGAUACGGCCCAGACUCCUACGGGAGGCAGCAGUGGGGAAUAUUGCACAAUGGGCGGAAGCCUGAUGCAGCAACGCCGCGUGCGGGAUGACGGCCUUCGGGUUGUAAACCGCUUUCGCCUGUGACGAAGCGUGAGUGACGGUAAUGGGUAAAGAAGUACCGGCUAACUACGUG